RNAcentral lists this long non-coding RNA (5368 nucleotides) under Homo sapiens (human). RNAcentral's name for it is "HSALNT0287768". The record is from RNAcentral. Lineage: Eukaryota; Metazoa; Chordata; Mammalia; Primates; Hominidae.
GUGGAUUUGAAUUAUCAUCUGAGAUCACUUGCUUUCAGUCUGAAUAACUUCAGUAUUUCUUGUAAGGUGGACAUGCUAGCAACAAAUUCUUCAGUUUUUGUUUGUUUAUCUGGGAAUGUUGUUAUUUGCUUUCUUUUUUUGAAUGAUAGCUUUGCUGGAUAUAAAAUUCUUGGGUGACUUUUUUCUUUGAUCACUCUGAAUAUGUUACCUCAUUGCUUUUGACCUCCAUUGUUUCUGCUGACAAGUCAUUUGUUAAUCUUAUUAGGGUUCCCUUGUAAGUGAUAAAUCAUUUUUUCCCACUUUUCAUUUUUUAUUUUUAAUUUUUAUGGUACAUAAUAGUUGUAUAUAUUUAUGGGUUACAUGUGGUGUUUUGAUACAGGUAUCCAAUGUGUAAUGAUUGAAUCCGGGUAAUUGGGGUAUCCAUCACCUGAAGCCCUUAUCAUUUCUUUGGGAUAGGAACUUAGAAUUCUACUAUUUUAGUUAUUUUGAAGAACAUAAUAAAUUAGUGUUAACUGUAGUCACCCUAUUGUGCUGCUGAAGACUAGAUGUUAUUCAUUCUAUCUAACCAUCCCCGCUUUAUUCCCCUUCCACUACUCUUCCCACCCUCUGGAAAACAUCAUUACACUCUCUAUCUCCAUUAGUUCAAUUUUGUUUUAGUGCUCACAUACGAGUGAGAACAUGUGAUUUUUGUCUUUCUGUGCCUGGCUUAUUUCACUUAAUAUAAUAUCCUCCAGUUCUAUUCAUGUUGUUGCAAAUGACAAGAUUUCAUUCUUUCUUAUAACCAAAUACUAUUUCAUUGUGUACCUGUCAGACAUUUUAAAAAUUCAUUCAUCUGUUGAUGAACACUUAGGUUGCUUCUGUAUCUUGGCUAUUGUGAAUAGUGUUGCAAUAAACAUGGGAUUGCAGAUAUUUCCUCAAUAUAUUGAUUGCCUUUCUUUUGGAUAUAUACCCAGCAGUGACACUGCUGGAUCAUAUGGUAGUUCUAUUUUUUUUUUUUUUUUUUUAGGAACCACCAUACUGUUCUCCAUAGUGGUUGUGUUAAUUUAUAUUCUUAUCAACAGUGUAUGAGGGUUCCCCCUUUUUCACCAUCUUCACCAGCAUUUGUUAUUGCCCAUCCUUUGCAUAAAAGCCAUUUUAACUGGAGUUAGAUGGUAUCUCAUUGCAGUUUUGAUUUGCAUUUCUCUGACGAUUAGUGAUGUUGAGCAUUUUUUCAUAUACCUUUUUGCCAUUUAUAUGUCUUCUUUUGAGAAACGUUUAUUCAGAUCUUUUACCCGUUUUUAAAUUGGACUAUUUGUUUUUUUCCUAUUGAAUUGUUUGAGCUCCUUAUAUAUUCUGGUUAUUGAUCUCUUGUCAAAUGAGUAUUCUUAAAUAUUUUCUCCCAUUCUAUGGGUUGUCUUGUCACUUUGCUGAUUGUUUCCUUUGCUGUGCAGAAGCUUGUUAGUUUGAUGUGAUCCCAUUUGUCCAUUUUUGCUUUGCUUGCCUGUGCUUUUGAGGUCUUACUCAAGAAAUCUUUGCCCAGACCAAUGCCCUGGUAUGUUUCCCCAAUGUCUUCUUGUAGUAGUUUCAUAGUUUCAGGUCUUAGAUUUAAUUAUUUAAUCUAUUUUGAUUUGAUUCUUGUAUAUGGGGUAGUUUCAUUUUUCUGCAAAUAGAUAUCCAGUUUUCCCAACACCAUUUAUUGAAGAGACUGUCCUUUUCCCAAUGCAUGUUCUUGGCACUUCUGUCAAAAAUGAGUUGACUGUAAAUGCAUGGAUUUAUUUCUGGAUUUUCUUUUCUGUUCUAUUGGUCAAUGUGUCUGUUUUUAUGACAGUACCUUGUUAUUUUGGUUACUAUAGCUCUGCAGUAUAAUUUGAAGUCAGGUACUGUGAUUCCUCCAGUUUUGUUCUUUUUCUCAGGAUGGCUUUUGCUAUUCUUGGUCUUUUAUGGUUUAAUAUACAUUUUAGGAUUAUUUUUUCUAUUUCUGUGAAGAUGUUAUUGGAAUUUUGAUAGGGAUUGCAUUGAAACUGUAGAUUGCUUUGGGUAGUAUGGAUAUCUUAACAACAUUUAUUCUUCCAAACCAUGAAUAUGCAAUAUCCUUUCAUUUUUUUGUUUCUUUCAUCAAUGUUUCAUCAAUGUUUUACAGUUUUCAUAGUAGAGAUUUUUCACUUCUUUGGUUAAGUAUAUAUAUAUAUACAUAUAUAUAUCUCACCAUGGAAUACUACUCAGACAUAAAAAAUGAAAUAAUAUGUUUUGCAGCAACUUGGAUGAAACUGGAGGCCAUUAUCCUAAGUGAAGUAACUCAGGAAUGGAAAAUCGAAUACCACAUGUUCUCACUUAUAAGUAGGGGCUAAGUGAUGGGUAUGUAAAGGUUUGCAGAAUGGUAUAACGGACAUUGGAGUCUCAGAAGUGGGGGAGGGCUGGAGGGAGGUGAAGGAUAAAAAAUACCACCUGUUCGGUACAAUGCACACUAUUCAGGUGACAGAUACACUUAAAGCCCAGGCUUCACUACUAUACAAUUCACCCAUGUAACCAAAAACCACUUGUACCCCUAAAGCUAUUGAAAUAUAAAUAAAUUAAUAAGCAAUUAAACAGACAACCUACAAAAUUGAAGAAAAUAUUUUCAAACUAUCUCAUAAUGGUCUCAUACUUGUAAUCUAUAAGGAACUUAAACGAUUCAACAAGCUAAAACCAAAUAACCCCAUUAAAAAGUGGGCAAACGAUAUGAACAGACACUUCUCAAAAGAAGACAUACGGUUGGGCGAGGUGGCUCAUGCUUGUAAUCCCAGCACUUUCGGAGGCCGAGGCAGGUGGAUCACGAGGUCAGGAGUUCGAGACCAGCCUGGCCAAUAUGGCGAACCCCCCACCUCUCCUAAAAAUACAAAAGUUAGCCAGGCAUGGUGGCAUGCACCUAUAGUCCCAGCUACUUGGGAGGCUGAGGCAGAAGAAUCACUUGAACCCAGGAGGCGGAGGUUGCAGUGAGCUGAGAUCGUACCAUUGCACUCCAGCCUGGGCAACACAGCAAGACUCCAUCUCAAAAAAAUAUAUACAUAUGGCCAACAAUCAUAUGAAAUAAAGCUCAACAUCACAUUAGAGAAAUAAAAAUCAAAACCACAGUGAGAUACCAUCUCACACCAGUCAGAAUGGCUGUUACUAAAAAGUCAAAUAACAGAUGCUGGCAAGGCUGUGGAAAAAAGGGAAGAUUUAUACAUUGCUGAUGGGAAUGAAAAUGAGUUAAGCCACAGUGGAAAGCAGCUUAAAGAUUUAUCAAAGAACUUAAACAAGCUACCAUUUGACCCAGCAAUCCCAUUACUGGGUAUCUACCCAAAGGAAAAUUAAUCAUUUUAGCAAACAGAUACUGCACUUGUAUAUUCAUCAUAGUACUAUCUACAAUAGCAAAGACAUGAAAUCAACCUAAGUAUCCAUCAACAGAGGAUUGGAUAAAUAAAUUCCUCUGUAAUGGGAGAUUUGCCUCUUUUCCUCCAUUAAUUAAUUAAUUAUUAAUUAAGUCAUUUGUGUCCAUAUGGACUCCUCUAUUUUAUACUUUGUGUUAUAAUCUAAUACUGCAUUACAGACAAACCUCAACUUAUGACCAUUUGACUUACAAAUUUUCAAGUUUAUGGUGGGUUUAUUGGGAUGUAAUUGCGUGGUAAGCUGAGGAGCAUCUGGACUUAUGGUUUGACUUAUGAUUUUUUGACUUUAUGAUGGGUUUGUUGGGGUACUAAAUGCCUUUUCAACUUACAAUAUUUCUAACUUAUGAUGGGUUUAUUAAGUCAUAGCCCCAUCAGAAGGUGAGGAGUAUCUAUAUUUUAUUGAGGCAAUUUUUCCAAAUUUGGCAAUCUUUCAGGAUGACUCCUCUAUUCCUUUGCCAUGCCUUCAUCUUUUUUUUUUUUUUUUUCCUCAAUUCCUUACUUUCUGGUGCUAUGAGAUUCUCCAGGCCCAUCUUGUAUUUCCCCUGCCUUGGUCCUAGAAUCAGUUAUUUCUCCAAGUAGCUCUAGUUCCUUUUAUUGGAGAAUGAUAUUAGAAUCCAAGGUCUUAGCAUUGGGUGUGCUUGUUGCUACUAGGGUACUAUUGCUUCUAGGCCCUCUCAGGACACAGGGCUAGGAACUAUACAUAUGUAUACUGACUCAUGUAUAUACGCACAUGUAAUUAUUUUUGUAUCUAUUCACCUCUAUCAAUAUUAAGUUAAACUUGAGUACAUACCGAUGUCUCUGAAUCGAAUCCAGUACCACAUAGUUCAUCCUAGCCUUCUUGAUUAUUUGUACUUCCCACCUACAGUUCAUUUACUUAUUUUUUCAAUCUUAGUAUACAUGUAUGGCUGUUUCAGAAUUGUCUACACAUAUCCCCUUGAGAAACAACUUUGCCAAUUAGAGUACAAUAUUUAUGUAUAGUUUCUUUAUAUUUUGUUUUAUAUUUUCCAGAAGAAACACUGUUUCGCAAAGUUACUUUGAGACUAUAUGGUCUUUUAAAGUUUGGUAGCAUUUCCCUGUGAAACUAUCUGGGGAUUGAUACUUUUUGGUAAGUAGUUCCUUAUAAUUUUCUCUAUUUCUUCUUUUUAAAAAAUGUUCUCUCUUUCUUCUAUGAAGAUUGAGCUCUUCAAUUUUCAUAUCUCUAAUAAAGUUGUUUUUCGUAAUCUUUACUUUGCUAGGAAAUUAUCUCUAUCAUCUAGAUUUUGAAAUUUGUUUGCACAGAGGUCUGCAAAGUAGUCUCUUAUAAUGUCUUAAAUUUCUUCUAAUAGUUAUUUCCCCAUUCUUUAUUUUGCAUACUUUUGCUUUCUCUGUUUUAUUUCAAUUAAUGUAGCUAAUGGUUUGUCUGUAUUAUCAAUCUUUUAAAAAAUAAAGGUUUUGAUUCGUUAACUAGGUCUAUGCUAUUUCUAUUCUUUUGUUAAUUCUUACUUUUUUUGUUAAUCUCUUGUGUUCUUUUACUUAAUUUGUUGUACUUAUUCUAAGUUUCUUUCUGUUUUUUGCUGGUGCUCUACCAAGAUCCAUUUGGACAUUUUUUUUUAAGUUGUGUUAAAAACACAUAGCUUAAAACUCAUCACCUUAACUAUUUUGAAGCAGAGAGUUGAGAAGUGUCAAGUAUAUUCACAUUGUUGUGCACAUUUUAAAAAUUUUUGUUAGUUCAAUAUUUAAUCAAUUUAUUUUCAAUCUUUUAUUUUUACUAAUAGCAGUGUUUAGUUAUAAAAUUUCCUCUGAUCACUGCUUUAUAUUUAUCCCAUGGAUUCUGAUAUGAAGUGUUUACAUCAUCAUUAUUUGUUUUAGAGAUCAUGUAGUUUUGGUUUAUAUUUUUCUUUUAAACCAAGAGUUAAUUGAAGGUUUUUAAAAUUUAUUUUUUAAAUGUAUAAUGGGCACAUAAUUGUACAUAUAUAUGGGAUACAAUGUGGUGUUUCAAUGCA